CAUGUUAGAACAUCUGACAGUAAAGAUAAAAGGUAAGCCUUAGAGAAUUUUGGGUAUACUGUGACUGCUUGGUACGUAGGUUUAGUGCCAGACAUAUCCUUUAUUUAUGCUGUGUAUGUAUACACAUUAUUCUGAAGUCAAACUUCAGGAAAACGUGUGUGUGGGGGUGUCCAUAGGUACCACUGUUGGCCCUUGGUGCCUUAGCCUGGCCAUACUGUGGAGGCAACAUGCUGAACCUUUGGGAGGAAAGGCUACACCUUGAACUGCCCAACAUCUAGCCCUCUGGCUCAAGUAAAAAGCUGUACGAAUGGGCUUGGGAGGAAAUCUCAGCUAGACUCCAUUCACAGCUGAAAGGAUGGUCACUGCAAUGCGGGGAAAAAAGGGGUCUCUAAGAGCACUGACAAACUUCCCCAGAAAAGGUUCUGUUCUCUUCCAUAAAACCCUGAAAAUAACCUUAACAGCAGAGCUGGUAGUGAAGUCCUGUUUAAAAUAUCGUUGUCCUGAAGCUUGCCACAGCUCUCUAUUCCCAAAAACUUGCCACAUGGAUUUCUUAGUGCUGCUAAGGUCCUUAACAGCCAGCUGUAUCGAGCAGGAGCUGCAAUUCACAGCAUAGGUACUGGCUAGAACUUCUCCAGCAGCACCAAUGAGCAAGAAAGCAGACCACAGGUUUCUGCACAGUCCACACUUCUGAUCUAGACUUAGCACUGCUUAGACCUAGUAUUAGCAUGGCAUUACUUGACAACCAUCACAUUAUCUGAACUUUCUGCUUUGUUUUGCAAGCAAGGAAAUCAAGGGCUUGGGGGGGGGGGGGGGGGAACCAUACCACAGCUCAGUGGCCUUAGGGCAGCAGGAUCUCUGACAUUGCUGCUGUGAGCAGUCUUUGGAAAUUUAGUCACCCCUGGAGGAUAGUACACCAGAAAGUCUGCGUUGGCAGCAACAAGCCGAUAGCCUUCACGUUUUCAUUGUAACUGUGUAACACAGUCUUGCAAAACUCUACUCAGCUAGGAAAAGUACAUAUUCUGGAAAUAUGAGCAAGACAGUGUUUUCAUUAUUAUGGUAAAAGACUGGCGAUUAGACUUUCGUAAUUGUAUAAGGCUGGUCUAAUACCAUCUAGUAUGCCUAGGACAUGAUCAAGUUAAGGUCUUCUCUUGGUAUGUUUCCUCUUUUAAUAAUAAUUUAAUGGCUGGAAUUUAUUUCAAAUCACCAUCUUUUAGAUCACAGGUUUUCAUGUCCAAGACUACUAUUGGAUAUGCCCUACUUGCUAACACUUAACUACUUAUCCAUACAUCCAUCUUGGUUACAUUAUAUUAGGGGUGCCCACAUUUUGCCUCAACAGAGGGUCACGUUAUCAACUUGCCAGGGGACAAAUGGCCCCACCGAGUUUACUAAAUAAUGAAGCAAAGUUCAGCCACUCUCAGACACUACUGAUGGUAGCAUGCAAUAUCCCAUCCUGAUCAAAGAGACUAAGCCACCACAUGGAUCAAUACACACUUUGGUUUAAUAAUUCAAUUCAGGACAGAACAUGGCAUGCUGAGCUGUAUAUUCUCUGCAGGCUACACUUCUGUACUGAAGACAAGGUCAGCUGUGGGUUAUAUUUUAAAACUCCAUGGGCUCUUUUGAGUGCCCCUCCAAUAGUUGCCAGGGACAAAUACCACAGCAGCAGAUCAAUUCUCCUCUGCCUUACCAGAGAAUCCACUGCAAUUGGCUUUGCAAAACUCAAAGGGUGAACAGAAAACAGUUUUAAUCUUAAAUGGAAGCAUAUUGCCAGUUUGUACUUAAAAUUUUAAAAGAGGAAGUAGGAUAGUCUUUUGAAAUAAAUAAAUCCUGCAAUUCUGUCCCUGCAGAAGAAACAUUUGGGUUGUCAACAUUUUGCAAUACUUUCUUUUCAGGACCUGUCACAGCUCUACUUAGUUUCUUUUUACAAAAAACAAAAACUCCUCUCUCCAAUAAAAGCUUGAAUAAAAGCUUUCCAACUGUGGGAAACGGGUCUUCUUCAUAUCUCAGCACUUUCCUCUCAGAGGCACUGCACAUGCUACACUACAAAAACAACAGGGAAACCAGUCACUCAUACACAACUGCCCACUCUUCCCCUACAUGCACCAAUUCUGACACAUGACCUAUAGUUAUCCAGGUUUUAUACCAGGCUCAUCACCAUGGUAUUCAAGCGCCAUAUUCCCUCAAAAGGGGGGAACAGUAAAAGGAAUUCUUCCAUCUUCUUAAAAAGAGACACUGUUCUCUUCAUGCAACUCCCUGCAGCACAGACCACAAACUUAUUUGGUUAUUACCACUUAUUCUACUGUACAAUCUUGCUAAUGCAAGUUAGUUACUAUUACAUGCAAAACAGUUAUUGCUACUAAAAUUCUAGUUUUAUUAAAUCUUUUUAUGGCUUUGUUUGCAUCAGGGAUAUUUCCCCCUACAUACUGUGCUAUUUUGCAUUCCAGUUUCAGAGGUAUUUUUUAUCAAUUGAUUCCCCCAAGCACUAAACUACUUGAUUCAAUGGUAUAGCUACUUUUGUUCAGAACUGAACUAGCUUUGAGCACAGUUCCCCAGAGCUCUACUGUAAACAGCCCACCUGCCCAAUAUACAUGGAGAGACGGAAUAUGCAGAGACUCUGUUUUUUAUUACAUAAUUAACUCUGCAAGAAUCACUGGUUUUGUAUCUCAAUACAUUUUGCCCAUUUAAUUAAUCUAGAUCAACUCAGAAACCCAAGCUACCCAUUUUUCCCAGGUGGCCAUUUACAGGCAGGUCUCAAGAAAAGAUGCAGUAUCCUCUCUUAGCUGACAGCAGCCUGUUAUUUUUAAAACAGAGGUGGGUGAAAAACAAUAGUGACAGAAAUUAAAAAGCUAUUCCAGGAAAUCAGAUAGAUAUGAUACACAGAUUGUUGCAAACCUGGGUUGGGAGUCAUUUCCAUCUCUUGCUUCAGUAGCCUAAACUGCCUGUUUGAGAAAGUGAUAAGUAAAGUUAAGAUUUUGUCACAGUUAUUUUUAGUAAAAGUCAGUGAUAGGUCACGGGCAAUAAAAAAAAUUCAGGGAAGCCCAUGAUCUGUUUCUGACUUUUACUAAAAUAAUGGGGAUGGGGGAACUGACCAGGAGACGACUGAAGCCCAAGCCCUGCAGUUGGAGGAGGGGGGAGCUCCAGCACCCACUGUGGUUGACAGCUCCAAGGCCCCUGCAGCUGCUGAUGGCUCCAGUGCCAGUGACUGAGAGCUCUGGGGCCCCCACCGUCCACAGCGGCUGACAGCUACAGGUCCCCUCUGCUCUCAAUGGCUCAGAGCUCCAAGGCCAGUGGCUCAGAGAUGCGGGACCCCCACUGCCUGCAGUGGCUGCCUG
Long non-coding RNA from Terrapene triunguis (Three-toed box turtle), 3329 nucleotides. RefSeq lists it as uncharacterized. The record is from RefSeq and is a predicted model, not a curated record. Lineage: Eukaryota; Metazoa; Chordata; Testudines; Emydidae. The transcript is spliced from 3 exons.